UGGAGCAGCAGCUGCAGGGUCUAAAGCUUGGGAUGGCCAAUCUGGAGAGCAGCCUGGGCACCAGCCUGCAGCAGUGUCUCUCAGGAGAAGUACAGACCCGCUGUGAGACUGAGGAUGGCUGUGGGUGGCCGCGUGUGCGCGAGGUCAGCUUCCCGCACCGUGUCCUGACCCAGCCCGUGAUUAUGCUGGGGCUGGUGGGGCUGAGCACUCGCGGCUCUGUGGGCAUCUCGGUGAGAGCUGUGGACGUCACGGAUUCUGGCUUCAAAAUACACAUCGCCAGCGUGGGCAACCAGACUCUGACCAGUGCCAGGGUCUCUUGGAUGCUGUGUGCCUAGACAGAAAGAUGUGAUGCGGCCCCUGGAGCAAGCAGCUGGGGCAAGGGGAGCCAGGGAUUACUAAGCUGGUGCCAUCUGCUUUCCUUGCACACAACUGUGGUUUGCUUUGGUUUUCUUUAAAGUAAUUACAGCUUACAAGGAGUCUGUGUAGAUGGGAUCCCAAUUAAUAGCCCUUCUCUUGGGAGCUGUGUACCCCGAUGUAAUGACAGGCUGAGCAGCCCCAGGCCUUGUUGAAGGCUCCUGGAAAGUGCAGCUGACAAGAUCUGUCUUAAACUUCCAAACCUAAGUGCCUAAACUGAGCCCACCAGCUAUAUGCACAUGUGCAGCUGUUUGUGUGUGCAUUCAGCCACUCUGCAUGUGCAGAUGUGCUGCGCACUCGCACGAAAAGAUGCACCACAUGGCUAAUUGUGAGGGAAGUUGAGCACCUGGGUCUGGAAAGUUGGCCUGUAAGCCUUUCUUUAGGGUUUUUUUGGUUUUAUUAUUUUCAGUAACAGCUGGAAUAUUCUCCUGCUGCCCAUUUAAGAUUCUACCCAGUGCUUUGCAUGUCAGAAGUGUUUAAAACUUUUAUGCAGAGAAGAUGCUAAUGGCGGGAUGCAGCCAAACUACCAAAGAUGUGGGACUACCUGUGUGUGUGUUUCCAGCUGAAAUUUCCUGGCUGAGCCAGUUUCUCCUGGCACAGUGUGAGCUUGCCUAUAUGUCAGAGGGCAUUGUUAGUCAGGGCUGCUCGUCCCUCGCAGAGCUAUGGCUUCUCGUACUCUGAGCCUUACCCAGGAAGAGAUGGACAGUCCUGCUAAGCUUUCUUGUGGUGUUGCAAGGUGGACUAAGACUACUAGCCUUCUCUGGACCUCUGAUCUCACCAAGUGAAACACUGGAGCGUUCAGACCGCUCCAGGUGUGUUUGCUUGUCUGCCUAAUUGUGCAGAAGGAAAGCAGCUGUAUUUUAAUGUGUACAGCUCUCUUAGAAGAAGGCUUUGGAGGCUGCUAAUGG
This 1322-nucleotide long non-coding RNA is filed under the name Gopherus agassizii (Agassiz's desert tortoise). Its description in RNAcentral is "lncRNA (ENSGAGG00000009265.1)". Lineage: Eukaryota; Metazoa; Chordata; Testudines; Testudinidae. The record is from RNAcentral.